Molecule: transfer RNA, 72 nt
Filed under: Schistocerca lineata (birdwing grasshopper)
Lineage: Eukaryota; Metazoa; Arthropoda; Insecta; Orthoptera; Acrididae
Description: tRNA-Val
Source: RNAcentral
UCAAGAUAUCCUGAUUUGCACAGAAAAAUUUUCAGUGUAAAUGAAACACUUUAUUUAUUUUAUUAUAUUUAU